UAGUGACAAGAAAUAACAAUACAGGGCCUAACGGUCUUGUAAUUGGAAUGAGUGAAGUAUAAACCCCUUUACGAGUAUCAAUUGGAGGGCAAGUCUGGUGCCAGCAGCCGCGGUAAUUCCAGCUCCAAUAGCGUAUAUUAAAGUUGUUGCAGUUAAAAAGCUCGUAGUUGGAUUUCUGUUGUAUAAUUUUAUAAUAUUACCAAGGUAAUUAUUAUAUUAUCAACAUCCUUCCUAUUAUAUUCUAAAUAUAUAGGAAAUUUUACUUUGAGAAAAUUAGAGUGCUUAAAGCAGGCAAC
Molecule: ribosomal RNA, 296 nt
Filed under: Cryptosporidium andersoni
Lineage: Eukaryota; Apicomplexa; Conoidasida; Eucoccidiorida; Cryptosporidiidae
Description: partial 18S ribosomal RNA
Rfam family: Eukaryotic small subunit ribosomal RNA
Source: RNAcentral